GAUGAACGCUGGCGGCGUGCCUAAUACAUGCAAGUCGAGCGAACAGACGAGGAGCUUGCUCCGCGGACGUUAGCGGCGGACGGGUGUGUAACACGUGGAUAACGUACCUAUAAGACUGAGAUCACUUCGGGAAAGCGGCGCUAAUAGCGGAGGAUAUAUUGAUGCGCAUUGUUGGAUAGUGAAAGACGGUUUUGGUGUAACUAAUCGCGGGAUCCGAGCCGGAUUAGCUGGUUGGUAAGGUAACGGGUUAUCAAGGCGACGAUGCGUGGCCGAGGUGAGGGGCGGAUCGGCCACCCUGGAACUUAGACAGGCUCCAGACUCCUACGGUAGGGAGCAGUAGGCAAUCGUCCGCAACGGUCGAAAGCUUGACGGAGCAACGCCGCGUCAGUGAUGAAGGUCUUCGGAUCGUAAAACUCUGUUAUUAGGGAAGAACAAAUUUGUAAGUAACUAUGCACUUCUUGACGGUACCUAAUCAGAAAGCCACGGCUAACUACGUG
Molecule: ribosomal RNA, 497 nt
Filed under: uncultured bacterium
Lineage: Bacteria
Description: partial 16S ribosomal RNA
Rfam family: Bacterial small subunit ribosomal RNA
Source: RNAcentral